Molecule: ribosomal RNA, 756 nt
Filed under: uncultured bacterium
Lineage: Bacteria
Description: bacterial SSU rRNA
Rfam family: Bacterial small subunit ribosomal RNA
Source: RNAcentral
CUUAGAGUUUGAUCCUGGCUCAGGAUCAUCGCUGGCGGUAUGCUUAACACAUGCAAGUCGAACGGUGUCUUCGGACAUAGUGGCGGACGGGUGAGUAACGCGUGAGAAUCUAGCUUCAGGUCUGGGACAACCACUGGAAACGGUGGCUAAUACCGGAUGUGCCGGAAGGUGAAAGGCUUGCUGCCUGAAGAUGAGCUCGCGUCCGAUUAGCUAGUAGGUGGGGUAAGAGCCUACCUAGGCGACGAUCGGUAGCUGGUCUGAGAGGAUGACCAGCCACACUGGGACUGAGACACGGCCCAGACUCCUACGGGAGGCAGCAGUGGGGAAUUUUCCGCAAUGGGCGAAAGCCUGACGGAGCAAUACCGCGUGAGGGAGGAAGGCUCUUGGGUUGUAAACCUCUUUUCUCAGGGAAGAACACAAUGACGGUACCUGAGGAAUCAGCAUCGGCUAACUCCGUGCCAGCAGCCGCGGUAAUACGGAGGAUGCAAGCGUUAUCCGGAAUGAUUGGGCGUAAAGCGUCCGCAGGUGGCUGUGUAAGUCUGCUGUCAAAGAGCAAAGCUCAACUUUGUAAAGGCAGUGGAAACUACACGGCUAGAGUGCGUUCGGGGCAGAGGGAAUUCCUGGUGUAGCGGUGAAAUGCGUAGAGAUCAGGAAGAACACCGGUGGCGAAGGCGCUCUGCUAGGCCGCAACUGACACUGAGGGACGAAAGCUAGGGGAGCGAAUGGGAUUAGAUACCCCAGUAGUCCUAGCUGUAA